Molecule: long non-coding RNA, 393 nt
Organism: Echinops telfairi (small Madagascar hedgehog)
Lineage: Eukaryota; Metazoa; Chordata; Mammalia; Afrosoricida; Tenrecidae
Exons: 2
Source: RefSeq, a predicted model, not a curated record
ACUGCAGUGGAGCUGGCAUGGUGGCUUUGGUUAUACUGUACUUCAAAGCGACUUGCUGUGGAGAACAAAGGCCAACAUUCCAAAACAAGUGUGCUGAAUUCAAGUCCUAUGGAGAGGAAGCCUCCACUGAACUUCAAAACAUACCAGGCAUUUGCAGUAUAAAGAUAAAAAUGAAAAAAAAAAAGUCAACUACUAAGUAAACACAGAUAACAGAAAAGCACUGAGGAGAUGGACUUAGUUUUACAGUCUAAAUGCACAAAGACAAACAAACAAAAAUCUACACGCUUCUGAAAUUCUGCUCCCAUCAGGAUCCUCGCAAGGGCCAGUUUUUCAGUUUGUAACAACGAUGAGUCCAGGGCAAUAUUUGGAGUAAUAAAUCUGGCAUGAAAAUUA